CAGUAGAAAGAAAAGAAAAAAGGAAAAAGUAAAAAAAGAAAGAAAUAGUAGAUACAAAAAGGAUAAAAUAAAACAAAAUAGCAUCCCAAUCUCUUUGUAACAUGGAUAAUGAAACCUUGUUUCAGACCAUAGGCCUUAACCCAAAGAGAAGCAAGAACCCAUAACACAUAGCAUUAACUAAUUGACACUGUUGCCAAAUAAUUUUCUCAAUUUGCUCCAACAACAGGACCCAUAACCCUGUAAAAAUAGUUCAUCUCCAUAAUAAUACAUUACCUUGCCCAAGCCGCCUAAAUUUCUCAAGGUUAGCACAUCUAAGAAAACUAAGAAAGAAAACAAUCUUGUCAAAACUCUCCAAGCCAUCCUCUACGGACCAAAAGCAUUUUGUUUUCUGUGGACCAAAAGGAAAUUAUUAAUAUUAAUUUUGUUUAGGAUCAUAAUGUAGUCCAAAAC
Molecule: long non-coding RNA, 450 nt
Filed under: Carica papaya (papaya)
Lineage: Eukaryota; Viridiplantae; Streptophyta; Magnoliopsida; Brassicales; Caricaceae
Description: long non-coding RNA (CPAP_LNC013558)
Source: RNAcentral